GAUACUCUAACAAUGUCUGAAGCUCUGUCACUUGGGUGCUGAAUCCUUUUCUAUACUUUCUCAAUACUGGUCAGGAUUUUACGGUGUUGUCUAGGAGAGAGCAACCAUGAUGGGCAUGCAAUGCUCAAGUUCACAGAAAAACAUGAAUAGCAAGACUCAAAUCUGGCUGCCAGAUUUCUGCAAGGUAUUUUUCUCUCCAAACGAGGUAAUGUGUUUCUUAUAACAGUCUUUAUAAUAAGGAGAUGUGUGUGGAAAAAAAUCAAGUGUUAAACGGAGUCAUGCAA
Long non-coding RNA from Homo sapiens (human), 284 nucleotides. RefSeq lists it as uncharacterized. The transcript has 3 exons. Lineage: Eukaryota; Metazoa; Chordata; Mammalia; Primates; Hominidae. The record is from RefSeq and is a predicted model, not a curated record.